This is a non-coding RNA of Salmo salar (Atlantic salmon), 54 nucleotides long. The record is from Rfam. NCBI's taxonomy places the organism in Eukaryota, Metazoa, Chordata, Actinopteri, Salmoniformes, Salmonidae.
AAUGCACCAAUUUGUAAGUCGCUCUGGAAAAGAGCGUCUGCUAAAUGAUGUAAA